AACGAACGCUGGCGGCAGGCUUAACACAUGCAAGUCGAACGCUCGUAGCAAUACGGGAGUGGCAGACGGGUGAGUAACGCGUGGGAACAUACCCUCCGGUUCGGAAUAGCUCAGGGAAACUUGGAUUAAUACCGGAUACGGCUGAGAGGCGAAAGAUUUAUCGCCGGAGGAUUGGCCCGCGUUCGAUUAGCUUGUUGGUGAGGUAACGGCUCACCAAGGCGAUGAUCGAUAGCUGGUCUGAGAGGAUGAUCAGCCACAUUGGGACUGAGACACGGCCCAAACUCCUACGGGAGGCUG
RNAcentral lists this ribosomal RNA (297 nucleotides) under uncultured Pseudomonadota bacterium. Its description in RNAcentral is "uncultured proteobacterium partial 16S ribosomal RNA". It matches the Rfam family "Bacterial small subunit ribosomal RNA", at positions 29 to 351 of the family's 1533-position model. The record is from RNAcentral. Lineage: Bacteria; Pseudomonadati; Pseudomonadota.